Molecule: non-coding RNA, 79 nt
Filed under: unclassified sequences
Description: skipping-rope RNA
Rfam family: skipping-rope RNA
About the family: Firmicutes, Fusobacteria, AlphaProteobacteria, Spirochaetes. Downstream gene
Source: Rfam by way of RNAcentral
ACGCUAAGAGGUGGGAAAGGUACCCCACGCGCCUUUACGGUUAAAAAGAGAUGCGGGACACGCCGCCCCGCCUUAGCGU